GAGCACGUAGGUGGGUUUGUAAGUCAGAUGUGAAAGCCUUCUGUUCAACGGAAGAAUUGCAUCUGAAACUGCGAGUCUUGAGCGUAGGAGGGGAGAAUGGAACUUCUGGUGGAGCGGUGUAAUGCGUAGAUAUCAGAAGGAACGCCGGCGGCGAAAGCGAUUCUCUGGCCUAUUACUGACACUCAGUGUGCGAAAGCUAGGGGAGCAAACGGGAUUAGAUACCCCGGUAGUCCUAGCCGUAAACGUUGGGCACUAAGUAGAGGGGUUUUA
RNAcentral lists this ribosomal RNA (270 nucleotides) under uncultured anaerobic ammonium-oxidizing bacterium. RNAcentral describes it as "partial 16S ribosomal RNA". It matches the Rfam family "Bacterial small subunit ribosomal RNA", at positions 565 to 833 of the family's 1533-position model. The record is from RNAcentral.